Molecule: ribosomal RNA, 468 nt
Filed under: uncultured bacterium
Lineage: Bacteria
Description: partial 16S ribosomal RNA
Rfam family: Bacterial small subunit ribosomal RNA
Source: RNAcentral
GACGAACGCUGGCGGCGUGCUUAACACAUGCAAGUCGAACGGAAAGGCCCUGCUUUUGUGGGGUGCUCGAGAGGCGAACGGGAGAGUAACACGUGAGUAACCAGACCUUGACUUUGGGAUAACUUCAGGAAACUGGGGCUAAUACCGGAAAGGAGCUCCUGCUGCAGGGUGGGGGUUGGAAAGUUUCGGCGGUUGGGGAUGGGCUCGAGGCUUAUCAGCUUGUUGGUGGGGUAGUGGCUUACCAAGGCUUUGACGGGUAGCCGGCCUGAGAGGGUGACCGGCCACAAUGGGACUGAGAUACGGCCCAGACUCCUACGGGAGGCAGCAGUGGGGAAUAUUGCACAAUGGGCGGAAGCCUGAUGCAGCAACGCCGCGUGCGGGAUGACGGCCUUCGGGUUGUAAACCGCUUUCGCCUGUGACGAAGCGUGAGUGACGGUACCUGGUAAAGAAGCACCGGCUAACUACGUG